UAAGGUGGUUAUAGCGUUGGGGUUCCACCUCUUCCCAUUCCGAACAGAGAAGUUAAGCCCAAUAGCGCCGAUGGUACUGCACACAAGUGGGAGAGUAGGUAGCCGCCGUUC
Molecule: ribosomal RNA, 111 nt
Filed under: Dysgonomonadaceae bacterium zrk40
Lineage: Bacteria; Pseudomonadati; Bacteroidota; Bacteroidia; Bacteroidales; Dysgonomonadaceae
Source: RNAcentral